UCGUAGUUGAAUCUCAGUUCCAGACAGGCGGUCCGCUCCGGUGGUUACUGCCUGGCCUGAACAUCCUGACGGUUUUCCUUCUGUGCUCUUGACUGAGUGUCGUAGGUGCCCGUCACGUUUACUUUGAAAAAAUUGGAGUGCUCAAAGCAGGCGUUCCGCCUGAAUAAUGGUGCAUGGAAUAAUGAAAGAGGACUUCGAGUUCUAUUGUGUUGGUUUUCGGAACACGAGGUAAUGAUUAAAAGGGACAGACGGGGGCAUUCGUAUUGCGACGCUAGAGGUGAAAUUCUUGGACCGUCGCAAGACGAACUACAGCGAAAGCAUUUGCCAAGAAUGUUUUCAUUAAUCAAGAACGAAAGUUAGAGGUUCGAAGGCGAUCAGAUACCGCCCUAGUUCUAACCAUAAACGAUGCCAACCAGCGAUCCGCCUGAGUUACUCAAUUGACUCGGCGGGCAGCUUCCGGGAAACCAAAGUUUGUGGGUUCCGGGGGAAGUAUGGUUGCAAAGCUGAAACUUAAAGGAAUUGACGGAAGGGCACCACCAGGAGUGGAGCCUGCGGCUUAAUUUGACUCAACACGGGAAAACUUACCCGGCCCGGACACCGGAAGGAUUGACAGAUUAAGAGCUCUUUCUUGAUUCGGUGGGUGGUGGUGCAUGGCCGUUCUUAGUUGGUGGAGCGAUUUGUCUGGUUAAUUCCGAUAACGAACGAGACUCUAGCCUACUAAAUAGGCGACCGAUCACUUGUGUCGGUCUUCCUUCUUAGAGGGACAAGCGGCGUUUAGCCGCACGAGACAGAGCAAUAACAGGUCUGUGAUGCCCUUAGAUGUCCGGGGCCGCACGCGCGCUACACUGAAGGAAUCAGCGUGUGUUUACCCCUGUCCGGCAGGACUGGGUAACCCGAUGAACCUCCUUCGUGAUAGGGAUAGGAGCUUGUAAUUGUUCUCCUUGAACGAGGAAUUCCCAGUAAGCGCGAGUCAUAAGCUCGUGUUGAUUACGUCCCUGCCCUUUGUACACACCGCCCGUCGCUACUACCGAUUGAAUGAUUUAGUGAGGUCUUCGGACUGGUGCUCGGAGCGGCUCUCGGGUCGCACCGCCGUACCGGAAAGAUGACCAAACUUGAUCAUUUAGAGGAAGUAAAAGUCGUAACAAGGUUUCC
RNAcentral lists this ribosomal RNA (1152 nucleotides) under Forsteropsalis inconstans. Its description in RNAcentral is "SSU rRNA". It matches the Rfam family "Eukaryotic small subunit ribosomal RNA", at positions 628 to 1804 of the family's 1831-position model. RNAcentral also lists the same sequence under 2 other names. Lineage: Eukaryota; Metazoa; Arthropoda; Arachnida; Opiliones; Neopilionidae. The record is from RNAcentral.